This 71-nucleotide transfer RNA is filed under the name Candidatus Buchananbacteria bacterium RIFCSPHIGHO2_02_FULL_40_13. Its description in RNAcentral is "tRNA-Ala". It matches the Rfam family "tRNA". From Rfam's summary of the family: Transfer RNA (tRNA) molecules are approximately 80 nucleotides in length. Their secondary structure includes four short double-helical elements and three loops (D, anti-codon, and T loops). Lineage: Bacteria; Candidatus Buchananiibacteriota. RNAcentral also lists the same sequence under 1 other name. The record is from RNAcentral.
GGGCCUAUGGUCUAGUGGUAGAACACUACAUUCGCAUUGUAGAGGCGGCGGUUCGAUUCCGCCUAGGUCCA